Long non-coding RNA from Balaenoptera ricei (Rice's whale), 2621 nucleotides. RefSeq lists it as uncharacterized. The transcript is spliced from 4 exons. Lineage: Eukaryota; Metazoa; Chordata; Mammalia; Artiodactyla; Balaenopteridae. The record is from RefSeq and is a predicted model, not a curated record.
UCGGCGCCGCGGCGCGGGUGCCCCCGCCCCCACCCCUGCGCGCGCCCGGCGCGGCUGGAUGAACUCUCGGGGGCUCGCGCUGCGGAGAUCCACUUGUCAGUUCAAGGGCAGGACAGAAACUCUGCAAGAAGAGUCUUGCGAACAGGAAAUUUCUCAUUGACAAGGUGCAUCAUAAUUGGGUGCUUUCUUCGGAUCUACAGGAAAUGGCCUUCACUGCAUGCUGGCAUGCCAACAAUGCCCUCUGAGGACAUGACAGCAGUGAAUUUGUCCCGAAGGUCUCUCUGAGAUGCCUCUUGUGUUCUGUCGCUUUCCAAGAUGCAGCCUGUUCAGGCUCUAGGAGUCAUCCAUUCCCUCUGCAUCCAGCGCCUGCCUAGCACAAUCUCUUGCCUAAGACCUGGCAGUGACCUCCUAACUGGCCCCCUUGGUCCGCUUCUGCCCCUCUGCCGUCCAUUUCCAGCACAGCAGCCAACAGCAACGACCAUCCCUGCAAAUCUUGACUGCUACUGGGUACCAGGUGCCCUUCCAGACACUCGGCACAUCCUGGGGAGCAAAACGGAUGCCUGUCCUUGAGGUGCUUGUAUUCCAGCAGGAGAGAGAUGGAUGAUAGACAAUAAAGGUGUUUACUCUAUGCCGAGCACUGUCCUGGGCGCCAGGGCACCGUGGAGAACAAGAUUGACGGGGUCCCUGUGCUAAGGGAGACGGACCAUAAACACAAAGCAAAUAGAGAAGAUAACUUCGGAUGAUGAUAUGAGCUGCAAAGAAGAUGAAACAGGGCAGCGUGGCUGCGAGGGGCGGGGAUGGCCAGGGAGGCCUCAUCCCGGGCAUGGCUUCUGAGCUGAGAGGGGACCAGCUGUCUGGGGAUAAGGGAAAAAGAGCUCCAGGCAGCUGAAGGGUAAGUGCGCAGGUCCUGAAGUACGACUGCCCCUGAACUAUUUGAGCAAGGGAACAACGACGGCCUGUGUGGCUGGAGGCGAAGGGGCUUGUCUCUCCAGCUAGAAAGGCGUUCCCACAAGACCCAGGACCCCUGUGUUUCCUCUGUGGCUGCACCCACUGUGCCUGCCCACAGCUGCCACUCACCACAUUUGUUGGAUGAAGGAGUAGAUAUUUAAUUUCUGCCCCUCCUUCAAUCCCACUUUAUCCCUGAACUCUUCCCAGUCCUCUCCAGACCUCCAAGAAUACUUCCUCCCCUAAGCCAAACCCUCAGAACCUUUGCUUGAGAUCCUUGGAUGGUCAGCUUGGGGCCGGGCAACCCCUUGAAAUGGUGCAAAAAUGGUGGCCUUGGUGCCUGUGUCCAUUUUUCAGGGGGCGCAUGCAUCAAAGUCUGGAAGGUCUGAGACCUGACCUUUCAAAACGUUUAUGAAACAGUGACCCGAACCCCUGGCUUUGCAGAUGUGGGAACUGAGGUCUAGAGGACGGACCAUGUAUCCCGGGCUCCCCAUCAGGCCACCAGCUGCUAGGCCACGAGACCCACCUGAUCUGGCUGCAGGAAGCCGGUGUGGGUGCUCUCUCUUUGGCACUUGCAGCCUCACAGACGCGUGUGAGGUGGCUUGCCGCCGGCCCCUUCUGUUUGGUUGUCCUCACUUUAACCUGUAACGCGCACUAAGUCCCUUGUGGCUGAUGUCCUUCCUCCUGGGAUUAUGCAUUCCCUGGGGGCAGGAUGGGCUUCUUGGAUUUUUAAAAAUGUUACCUGACCUUACUCUUUACUUCUGCGUCUACACACUUCCAACUGAGGGACCCCACGAGCACCGGCUGCCCAGACAGCUCCUUCCUCCCACGCCUGAAGGACCACGGAAGCCGCCACGUGGGGCCUUCACUGGCUUGUGGUCAGGCCUGUGGCUGGAUAUUCUUAGCAGCCUUCAGCCGGUCAUCCCGAGAAUCUCAACUCCCCUGCCACCAGGGCUUAGAUCGCUCACCGCCGGGGCCAAGAUGUUCUCUGUUUCCAAGCAGACAACUCAGAGUCGAGUGAAGCGAAGCGUGCUUGUUUCAAAGGCCCGCAGCCCAGCGUCACACUCAGCCAGGGGCUGCUCACUGCCGCCUGGGCCUGACGAGCAGCCAGAUUGUUGGGAGAACGCGUUCUGACUUAGCAGGAACUGUUCAGCCCAGCAGGGGCUCUUGGCCACAGCAGGGCAGUUAGUGUGGCUCUGACCUCUUGCCUGGGCCCUGGGGCAACUCGGAGGCCAGGGAGUCUCAGAUACUGGCUGACCUUCCUUUCUACAGGUCAAAGGCAUCCACUGUGGGUCAAGAGGCAAUUUUUUUGGGUCGUUUCUUACCGUUAUUAUUUUUUUAAUUUUAAUUUUAUGUUGGAGUAUAGUUGACUUACAAUGUUGUGUUAGUUUCAGGGGUACAGCAAAGUGAUUCAGUUAUACAUAUACAUAUAUCUGUUCUUUUUCAGAUUCUUUUUCCAUAUAGGUUAUUACAGAGUGUUGAGUAGAGUUCCCUGUGCUAUACAGUAGGCCCUUGUUGGGUAUCUACUUUAUAUAUAGUAGUGUGUAUAUGUUAAUCCCCAACUCCUAAUUUAUCCCUCUCCCCACCCUUCCCCCCAGUAACCAGAAGUUUGUUUUUGAAGUCUGUGGGUCUGUUUCUGUUUUGUAAAUAAGUUCAGUUGUAUCAUUUUUUUUAGA